This 484-nucleotide ribosomal RNA is filed under the name uncultured bacterium. Its description in RNAcentral is "partial 16S ribosomal RNA". It matches the Rfam family "Bacterial small subunit ribosomal RNA", at positions 30 to 507 of the family's 1533-position model. The record is from RNAcentral.
AUUGAACGCUGGCGGCAGGCCUAACACAUGCAAGUCGAGCGGAUGAAGGGAGCUUGCUCCUGGAUUCAGCGGCGGACGGGUGAGUAAUGCCUAGGAAUCUGCCUGGUAGUGGGGGAUAACGUCCGGAAACGGGCGCUAAUACCGCAUACGUCCUGAGGGAGAAAGUGGGGGAUCGUCGGACCUCACGCUAUCAGAUGAGCCUAGGUCGGAUUAGCUAGUUGGUGGGGUAAAGGCCUACCAAGGCGACGAUCCGUAACUGGUCUGAGAGGAUGAUCAGUCACACUGGAACUGAGACACGGUCCAGACUCCUACGGGAGGCAGCAGUGGGGAAUAUUGGACAAUGGGCGAAAGCCUGAUCCAGCCAUGCCGCGUGUGUGAAGAAGGUCUUCGGAUUGUAAAGCACUUUAAGUUGGGAGGAAGGGCAGUAAGUUAAUACCUUGCUGUUUUGACGUUAACAACAGAAGAAGCACCGGCUAACUUCGUG